This 689-nucleotide ribosomal RNA is filed under the name Staphylococcus aureus. RNAcentral's name for it is "partial 23S ribosomal RNA". It matches the Rfam family "Bacterial large subunit ribosomal RNA", at positions 559 to 1254 of the family's 2925-position model. Lineage: Bacteria; Bacillati; Bacillota; Bacilli; Caryophanales; Staphylococcaceae. The record is from RNAcentral.
UGUGCUUACAAGUAGUCAGAGCCCGUUAAUGGGUGAUGGCGUGCCUUUUGUAGAAUGAACCGGCGAGUUACGAUUUGAUGCAAGGUUAAGCAGUAAAUGUGGAGCCGUAGCGAAAGCGAGUCUGAAUAGGGCGUUUAGUAUUUGGUCGUAGACCCGAAACCAGGUGAUCUACCCUUGGUCAGGUUGAAGUUCAGGUAACACUGAAUGGAGGACCGAACCGACUUACGUUGAAAAGUGAGCGGAUGAACUGAGGGUAGCGGAGAAAUUCCAAUCGAACCUGGAGAUAGCUGGUUCUCUCCGAAAUAGCUUUAGGGCUAGCCUCAAGUGAUGAUUAUUGGAGGUAGAGCACUGUUUGGACGAGGGGCCCCUCUCGGGUUACCGAAUUCAGACAAACUCCGAAUGCCAAUUAAUUUAACUUGGGAGUCAGAACAUGGGUGAUAAGGUCCGUGUUCGAAAGGGAAACAGCCCAGACCACCAGCUAAGGUCCCAAAAUAUAUGUUAAGUGGAAAAGGAUGUGGCGUUGCCCAGACAACUAGGAUGUUGGCUUAGAAGCAGCCAUCAUUUAAAGAGUGCGUAAUAGCUCACUAGUCGAGUGACACUGCGCCGAAAAUGUACCGGGGCUAAACAUAUUACCGAAGCUGUGGAUUGUCCUUUGGACAAUGGUAGGAGAGCGUUCUAAGGGCGUUGAA